Long non-coding RNA from Leopardus geoffroyi (Geoffroy's cat), 127 nucleotides. RefSeq lists it as uncharacterized. The transcript is spliced from 4 exons. Lineage: Eukaryota; Metazoa; Chordata; Mammalia; Carnivora; Felidae. The record is from RefSeq and is a predicted model, not a curated record.
CAAGGAUCAUAAAACACUGGUCAGGGGCACCCGGUUGGCUCUGUUGGUGGAACAUGUGACUCUUGAUCUCAGAGUUGUGAGUUCGAGCCUCACAUUGGGUGUAGAGAUUACUUAAAAAUAAAAUCUU